Molecule: ribosomal RNA, 515 nt
Filed under: uncultured bacterium
Lineage: Bacteria
Description: partial 16S ribosomal RNA
Rfam family: Bacterial small subunit ribosomal RNA
Source: RNAcentral
GAUGAACGCUGGCGGCGUGCCUAAUACAUGCAAGUCGAGCGAAUGGAUUAAGAGCUUGCUCUUAUGAAGUUAGCGGCGGACGGGUGAGUAACACGUGGGUAACCUGCCCAUAAGACUGGGAUAACUCCGGGAAACCGGGGCUAAUACCGGAUAACAUUUUGAACCGCAUGGUUCGAAAUUGAAAGGCGGCUUCGGCUGUCACUUAUGGAUGGACCCGCGUCGCAUUAGCUAGGUGGUGAGGUAACGGCUCACCAAGGCAACGAUGCGUAGCCGACCCGAGAGGGUGAGCGGCCACACUGGGACUGAGACACGGCCCAGACUCCUACGGGGGGCAGCAGUAGGGAAUCUUCCGCAAUGGACGAAAGUCUGACGGAGCAGCGCCUCGUGAGUGACGAAGGCUUUCGGGUCGUAAAACUCUGUUGUUAGGGAAGAACAAGUGCUAGUUGAAUAAGCUGACACCUUGACGGUACCUAACCAGAAAGCCACGGCUAACUACGUACCAGCCGCCGCAGUAA